AUAGAUACCCGGGUAGUCCUAGCUGUAAACGAUGAGCACUGGGUUGAGGGGACUUCCACAUCCUCUCGGCCGUAGCGAAAGCGUUAAGUGCUCCGCCUGGGGAGUAUGGCCGCAAGGCUGAAACUCAAAGGAAUUGACGGGGGCUCACACAAGCGGUGGAGGAUGUGGCUUAAUUCGAGGCUACGCGAAGAACCUUAUCCUAGAUUUGACAUGGUUGAGAAUCUCCUUGAAAGAGGAGAGUGCCCUUCGGGGAGCUCUUUCACAGGUGCUGCAUGGCUGUCGUCAGCUCGUGUCGUGAGAUGUUGGGUUAAGUCCCUUAACGAGCGAAACCCUUAUCUUUAGUUGCCAGCGGGUCAAGCCGGGGACUCUAAAGAGACUGCCGGUGUCAAACCGGAGGAAGGUGGGGAUGACGUCAAGUCCUCAUGGCCUUUAUGUCUAGGGCUGCACACGUCCUACAAUGGCACGUACAAAGGGAAGCCAAGCCGCGAGGCCGCGCUAAUCCCAAAAAGCGUGCCCCAGUUCGGAUUGCAGG
This 532-nucleotide ribosomal RNA is filed under the name uncultured bacterium. RNAcentral's name for it is "bacterial SSU rRNA". It matches the Rfam family "Bacterial small subunit ribosomal RNA", at positions 778 to 1304 of the family's 1533-position model. The record is from RNAcentral.